GGUUAAGCGACUAAGCGUACACGGUGGAUGCCCUGGCAGUCAGAGGCGAUGAAGGACGUGCUAAUCUGCGAAAAGCGUCGGUAAGGUGAUAUGAACCGUUAUAACCGGCGAUGUCCGAAUGGGGAAACCCAGUGUGAUUCGUCACACUAUCGUUAACUGAAUACAUAGGUUAACGAGGCGAACCGGGGGAACUGAAACAUCUAAGUACCCCGAGGAAAAGAAAUCAACCGAGAUUCCCCCAGUAGCGGCGAGCGAACGGGGAGCAGCCCAGAGUCUGAAUCAGCUUGUGUGUUAGUGGAACGGUCUGGAAAGUCCGACGGUACAGGGUGAUAGUCCCGUACACCAAAAUGCACAGGCUGUGAACUCGAAGAGUAGGGCGGGACACGUGGUAUCCUGUCUGAAUAUGGGGGGACCAUCCUCCAAGGCUAAAUACUCCUGACUGACCGAUAGUGAACCAGUACCGUGAGGGAAAGGCGAAAAGAACCCCGGCGAGGGGAGUGAAAAAGAACCUGAAACCGUGUACGUACAAGCAGUGGGAGCACCUUCGGGUGUGACUGCGUACCUUUUGUAUAAUGGGUCAGCGACUUAUAUUCUGUAGCAAGGUUAACCGUAUAGGGGAGCCGCAGGGAAACCGAGUCUUAACUGGGCGUUAAGUUGCAGGGUAUAGACCCGAAACCCGGUGAUCUAGCCAUGGGCAGGUUGAAGGUUGGGUAACACUAACUGGAGGACCGAACCGACUAAUGUUGAAAAAUUAGCGGAUGACUUGUGGCUGGGGGUGAAAGGCCAAUCAAACCGGGAGAUAGCUGGUUCUCCCCGAAAGCUAUUUAGGUAGCGCCUCGUGAACUCAUCUUCGGGGGUAGAGCACUGUUUCGGCUAGGGGGUCAUCCCGACUUACCAACCCGAUGCAAACUACGAAUACCGAAGAAUGUUAUCACGGGAGACACACGGCGGGUGCUAACGUCCGUCGUGAAGAGGGAAACAACCCAGACCGCCAGCUAAGGUCCCAAAGUCAUGGUUAAGUGGGAAACGAUGUGGGAAGGCACAGACAGCCAGGAUGUUGGCUUAGAAGCAGCCAUCAUUUAAAGAAAGCGUAAUAGCUCACUGGUCGAGUCGGCCUGCGCGGAAGAUGUAACGGGGCUAAACCAUGCACCGAAGCUGCGGCAGCGACACUAUGUGUUGUUGGGUAGGGGAGCGUUCUGUAAGCCUGCGAAGGUGUGCUGUGAGGCAUGCUGGAGGUAUCAGAAGUGCGAAUGCUGACAUAAGUAACGAUAAAGCGGGUGAAAAGCCCGCUCGCCGGAAGACCAAGGGUUCCUGUCCAACGUUAAUCGGGGCAGGGUGAGUCGACCCCUAAGGCGAGGCCGAAAGGCGUAGUCGAUGGGAAACAGGUUAAUAUUCCUGUACUUGGUGUUACUGCGAAGGGGGGACGGAGAAGGCUAUGUUAGCCGGGCGACGGUUGUCCCGGUUUAAGCAUGUAGGCUG
This 1479-nucleotide ribosomal RNA is filed under the name Klebsiella pneumoniae. RNAcentral describes it as "partial 23S ribosomal RNA". It matches the Rfam family "Bacterial large subunit ribosomal RNA", at positions 1 to 1527 of the family's 2925-position model. Lineage: Bacteria; Pseudomonadati; Pseudomonadota; Gammaproteobacteria; Enterobacterales; Enterobacteriaceae. RNAcentral also lists the same sequence under 1 other name. The record is from RNAcentral.